GAUGAACGCUGGCGGCGUGCUUAACACAUGCAAGUCGAACGAAGCACUUUAUUUGAUUUCCUUCGGGACUGAUUAUUUUGUGACUGAGUGGCGGACGGGUGAGUAACGCGUGGGUAACCUGCCUUGUACAGGGGGAUAACAGUUGGAAACGGCUGCUAAUACCGCAUAAGCGCACGGCAUCGCAUGAUGCAGUGUGAAAAACUCCGGUGGUAAAGAUGGACCCGCGUUGGAUUAGCUAGUUGGUGAGGUAACGGCCCACCAAGGCGACGAUCCAUAGCCGACCUGAGAGGGUGACCGGCCACAUUGGGACUGAGACACGGCCCAAACUCCUACGGGAGGCAGCAGUGGGGAAUAUUGCACAAUGGGCGAAAGCCUGAUGCAGCGACGCCGCGUGAGCGAAGAAGUAUUUCGGUAUGUAAAGCUCUAUCAGCAGGGAAGAUAAUGACGGUACCUGACUAAGAAGCACCGGCUAAAUACGUG
Molecule: ribosomal RNA, 480 nt
Filed under: uncultured bacterium
Lineage: Bacteria
Description: partial 16S ribosomal RNA
Rfam family: Bacterial small subunit ribosomal RNA
Source: RNAcentral